AACCCUGGAAGUGCAUUUGAACCUGUGUGACUUGACUAUGGGAGAGGGAAGCGGAAUUCCUGGUGUAUCGCUGAAAUGCGUAGAUAUCAGGAGGAACACCCGUGGCGAAGGCGGCUUCCUGGACCAAGACAGACGCUGAGGCGCGAAGGCGUGGGGAGCAAACAGGAUUAGAUACCCUGGUAGUCCAUGCAGUAAACGGUGAUCACUAGGUGUAGCGGGUAUUGACCCCAGCUGUGCCGAAGCUAACGCAUUAAGUGAUCCGCCUGGGGAGUACGACCGCAAGGUUAAAACUCAAAGGAAUAGACGGGGGCCCGCACAAGCGGUGGAGCAUGUGGUUUAAUUCGACGCAACGCGAAGAACCUUACCUGGAUUUGACAUCCCGGGAAUCUUUAUGAAAAUAGAGAGUGCCAUUCGGGGAGCCCGGAGACAGUUGCAGCAUGGCUGUAGUCAGCUCGUGUCGUGAGACGUUGGGCUAAGUCCCGCAACGAGCGCAACCCCUAUCUUCAGUUACCAGCAUUUCGGAUGGGGACUCUGGAGAUACUGCCCCGGUUAACGGGGAGGAAGGUGGGGAUGAUGUCAAGUCCUCAUGGCCUUUAUGUCCAGGGAUACACACGUGCUACAAUGGUCGGUACAAAGGGCGACGAACUUGUGAGGGUGAGCUAAUCCCAUAAAGCCGGCCCAAGUUCGGAUUGGAGAUCUGCAACUCGACCUCAUGAAGUUGGAAUCGCUAGUAAUCGCGGAUCAGCAUACCGCGGUGAUACAGUUCCCGGGCGUUGUACACACCGCCAGUCACACCAUGAGAAUUGGUUGUACCAGA
RNAcentral lists this ribosomal RNA (817 nucleotides) under uncultured organism. RNAcentral describes it as "bacterial SSU rRNA". It matches the Rfam family "Bacterial small subunit ribosomal RNA", at positions 611 to 1424 of the family's 1533-position model. The record is from RNAcentral.